Molecule: unclassified non-coding RNA, 185 nt
Filed under: soil metagenome
Description: partial internal transcribed spacer 1
Source: RNAcentral
CAGAGUUGCAAAACUCCCACAAACCAUCGCGAAUCGUUUACCACCGUACGGUUGCUCGGUGGCGGUCCGGAAGGCCUCGGCCCCCCGGGGUCCCCGCUCGCGGGAGGCUGCCGCCGGUAGUGGCCGUAUACCAAACUCUUGAUAUAUACCAUGUACUAUCUGAGUACUAUACUUUAAAUAAGUAA